ACUAUUUUGUCAGAUUAAUGUAAUAAAUUUAGAAUUUAUUUAAGUAUAAUAAUUAUAUACAUAUAGUA
Molecule: transfer RNA, 68 nt
Filed under: Leptocimbex praiaformis
Lineage: Eukaryota; Metazoa; Arthropoda; Insecta; Hymenoptera; Cimbicidae
Description: tRNA-Leu
Source: RNAcentral